RNAcentral lists this ribosomal RNA (492 nucleotides) under uncultured bacterium. RNAcentral describes it as "partial 16S ribosomal RNA". It matches the Rfam family "Bacterial small subunit ribosomal RNA", at positions 29 to 507 of the family's 1533-position model. The record is from RNAcentral.
AGUGAACGCUGGCGGUAGGCCUAACACAUGCAAGUCGAACGGCAGCACAGUAAGAGCUUGCUCUUACGGGUGGCGAGUGGCGGACGGGUGAGGAAUACAUCGGAAUCUACUUUUUCGUGGGGGAUAACGUAGGUAAACUUACGCUAAUACCGCAUACGACCUACGGGUGAAAGCAGGGGAUCUUUGGACCUUGCGCGAUUGAAUGCGCCGAUGUCGGAUUAGCUAGUUGGCGGGUUAAAGGCCCACCAAGGCGACGAUCCGUAGCUGGUCUGAGAUGAUGAUCAGCCACACUGGAACUGAGACACGGUCCAGACUCCUACGGGAGGCAGCAGUGGGGAAUAUUGGACAAUGGGCGCAAGCCUGAUCCAGCCAUACCGCGUGGGUGAAGAAGGCCUUCGGGUUGUAAAGCCCUUUUGUUGGGAAAGAAAAGCAGCAGGUUAAUACCCCGCUGUUCUGACGGUACCCAAAGAAUAAGCACCGGCUAACUUCGUG